This 468-nucleotide ribosomal RNA is filed under the name uncultured bacterium. Its description in RNAcentral is "partial 16S ribosomal RNA". It matches the Rfam family "Bacterial small subunit ribosomal RNA", at positions 28 to 507 of the family's 1533-position model. The record is from RNAcentral.
GACGAACGCUGGCGGCGUGCUUAACACAUGCAAGUCGAACGGAAAGGCCCUGCUUUUGUGGGGUGCUCGAGUGGCGAACGGGUGAGUAACACGUGAGUAACCUGCCCUUGACUUUGGGAUAACUUCAGGAAACUGGGGCUAAUACCGGAUAGGAGCUCCUGCUGCAUGGUGGGGGUUGGAAAGUUUCGGCGGUUGUGGAUGGACUCGCGGCUUACCAGCUUGUUGGUGGGGUAGUGGCUUACCAAGGCUUUGAAGGGUAGCCGGCCUGAGAGGGUGACCGGCCACAUUGGGACUGAGAUACGGCCCAGACUCCUACGGGAGGCAGCAGUGGGGAAUAUUGCACAAUGGGCGGAAGCCUGAUGCAGCAACGCCGCGUGCGGGAUGACGGCCUUCGGGUUGUAAACCGCUUUCGCCUGUGACGAAGCGUGAGUGACGGUAAUGGGUAAAGAAGCACCGGCUAACUACGUG